Molecule: long non-coding RNA, 917 nt
Organism: Sebastes umbrosus (honeycomb rockfish)
Lineage: Eukaryota; Metazoa; Chordata; Actinopteri; Perciformes; Sebastidae
Exons: 2
Source: RefSeq, a predicted model, not a curated record
UCCUCCUGAACAAGUGCAGUUUUCUUCAUUUGUUUCUGGAUGAACCCCGUUUUAACGAGCACAUCAUCCUUCAGGGUGCUAUUUUCCUCCUGUAGGGUGCUAUUUUCCUCCUGUAGGGUGCUGUCUUUCUCCUCCAGGAGGUGCGGUUUUUCUCCUGCAGGGUGCUAUUUUCCUCCUGUAGGGUGCUGUCUUUCUCCUCCAGGAGUUUAUUCAAGUUGUCCACUUGUUUCUGGAGCGCCUCGGUUUGGAUCUUGCUUUCCUCCAGCUCGGUGGUAAGCUUCUUCAGCUCCACAGCGUGAAAGUCGCGGACAACCUCGAGUUCAGUUCGGAGGCCCUGAUUGACCGCCUGCUCAGCUUGGAGCUCUUUUAGGCUGUUUUUGUGGGCCACUUUGAGAUCCCUCACUUCAUCUUGCAGGUCGCUGUCUUUCUUCUGAAGGAUGCGGUAUUUGUCCGCAAAGAAGAGGUUUUCCCCCUGCAGGGUGCUAUUUUUCUCCUGAAGCAGCGUAGUUUUCUCCACUUGUCUCUGGAGGGACCCCGUUUGGACGAGCAGUUCAUCCUGCAGUUUGCAGUUUUCUUCCCGCAGGGUGCUAUUUUCCUCCUGCAGGUUGCUGUCUUCCUCCUCCAGGAGCUUAUUCAAGUGGUCCACUUGUUUCUGGAGAGACUUGCCUUUCUCCAGCUCGGUGGUAAGCAUCUUCAGCUUCACGUCCUGAAAGUCGCUGAGGUCCUCGAGGAGGACCUCCUGCUUAGCUUGGAGCUUUUCUUGGCUGGUUUUGUGAGCCACUUUGAGAGCCAUCACCUCAUCCUGCAGGGCGCGUUUUUUCUCCUGCGGGGUGCUGUCUUUCUCGUCCAGGAGCUUAUUCAAGUUGUCCACUUGUUUCUGGAGGGACCCGUUUUGGAAGAUCUUGCUGACCACUUCA